GACAGUGGCUCUCGCGAGGGGGAGCCGUGAACCUGGUCAGGACUUAACUGUAGCAGCCAUAAGCGGGGUACUCUUGUGCGAGGGCCUCUGACGGG
Molecule: signal recognition particle RNA, 95 nt
Filed under: Planctomycetales bacterium
Lineage: Bacteria; Pseudomonadati; Planctomycetota; Planctomycetia; Planctomycetales
Also listed under: 2 other names
Description: signal recognition particle sRNA small type
Rfam family: Bacterial small signal recognition particle RNA
About the family: The signal recognition particle (SRP) is a universally conserved ribonucleoprotein involved in the co-translational targeting of proteins to membranes.
Source: RNAcentral